AGCGAACGCUGGCGGCACGCCUAACACAUGCAAGUCGCGCGGCGGGGUUCGCCCCGCAGCGGCGGACGGGGGAGGAGCGCGUAGGAACGUGUCCCGAGGUGGGGAACAACCCCGGGAAACUGGGGCUAAUUCCGCAUGCGGCCCGCGGGCCAAAGCAGCGGUGCGCCUCGGGGGCGGCCUGCGUCCGAUUAGCGUGUUGGCGGGGUAACGGCCCACCAAGGCGUCGAUCGGUAGCUGGUCUGAGAGGACGGCCAGCCACACUGGGACUGAGACACGGCCCAGACUCCUACGGGAGGCAGCAGUGGGGAAUAUUGGGCAAUGGGCGCAAGCCUGACCCAGCGAUGCCGCGUGGGUGAAGAAGGUCCUCGGAUUGUAAAGCCCUUUCGGCGGGGACGAUGGUGACGGUACCCGCAGAAGAAGCCCCGGCUAACUUCGUGCCAGCAGCCGCCGUAA
RNAcentral lists this ribosomal RNA (453 nucleotides) under uncultured bacterium. Its description in RNAcentral is "partial 16S ribosomal RNA". It matches the Rfam family "Bacterial small subunit ribosomal RNA", at positions 28 to 523 of the family's 1533-position model. The record is from RNAcentral.